UACAGAGGGUGCAAGCGUUGUCCGGAAUCACUGGGCUUAAAGGGCGCGUAGGCGGGCUCCCAAGUCUGGGGUGAAAUCUUUCGGCUUAACCGGAAAAGUGCCUCGGAUACUGGGAGCCUUGAGGGAGGCAGGGGCGGAUGGAACUUCCGGUGGAGCGGUGAAAUGCGUUGAUAUCGGAAGGAACGCCGGUGGCGAAAGCGAUCCGCUGGACCUCUUCUGACGCUGAGGCGCGAAAGCCAGGGGAGCAAACGGG
Molecule: ribosomal RNA, 253 nt
Filed under: uncultured bacterium
Lineage: Bacteria
Description: partial 16S ribosomal RNA
Rfam family: Bacterial small subunit ribosomal RNA
Source: RNAcentral